AGUGAACGCUGGCGGUAGGCCUAACACAUGCAAGUCGAACGGCAGCACAGUAAGAGCUUGCUCUUACGGGUGGCGAGUGGCGGACGGGUGAGGAAUACAUCGGAAUCUACUUUUUCGUGGGGGAUAAUGUAGGGAAACUUACGCUAAUACCGCAUACGACCUACGGGUGAAAGCAGGGGAUCUUCGGACCUUGCGCGAUUGAAUGAGCCGAUGUCGGAUUAGCUAGUUGGCGGGGUAAAGGCCCACCAAGGCGACGAUCCGUAGCUGGUCUGAGAGGAUGAUCAGCCACACUGGAACUGAGACACGGUCCAGACUCCUACGGGAGGCAGCAGUGGGGAAUAUUGGACAAUGGGCGCAAGCCUGAUCCAGCCAUACCGCGUGGGUGAAGAAGGCCUUCGGGUUGUAAAGCCCUUUUGUUGGGAAAGAAAAGCAGCAGGUUAAUACCCCGCUGUUCUGACGGUACCCAAAGAAUAAGCACCGGCUAACUUCGU
RNAcentral lists this ribosomal RNA (491 nucleotides) under uncultured bacterium. RNAcentral describes it as "partial 16S ribosomal RNA". It matches the Rfam family "Bacterial small subunit ribosomal RNA", at positions 29 to 506 of the family's 1533-position model. The record is from RNAcentral.